UACAGAGGGGGCAAGCGUUGUCCGGAUUUAUUGGGCGUAAAGAGCGUGUAGGCGGCUAGGUAGGUCCGUUGUGAAAACUCGAGGCUCAACCUCGAGACGCCGGUGGAAACCAUCUAGCUAGAGUCCGGAAGAGGAGAGUGGAAUUCCUGGUGUAGCGGUGAAAUGCGCAGAUAUCAGGAAGAACACCCGUGGCGAAGGCGGCUCUCUGGGACGUGACUGACGCUGAGACGCGAAAGCGUGGGGAGCGAACAGG
RNAcentral lists this ribosomal RNA (253 nucleotides) under uncultured bacterium. Its description in RNAcentral is "partial 16S ribosomal RNA". It matches the Rfam family "Bacterial small subunit ribosomal RNA", at positions 524 to 776 of the family's 1533-position model. The record is from RNAcentral.